Molecule: long non-coding RNA, 547 nt
Organism: Bombus huntii
Lineage: Eukaryota; Metazoa; Arthropoda; Insecta; Hymenoptera; Apidae
Exons: 2
Source: RefSeq, a predicted model, not a curated record
CUACAUAUAAUUUCGUGUCAAUUCAAUCAGAUACUUUGCCAGAAACAGGAACAAUUGAAUAAGUUAAGACUUAUCUUUCCAAAAAUAAAGAUCACAAUGGCAUCUGUUGUAAAAUACGCAAAGAAUGUUUAUUAUGAUUCUUUUAAAUGGUCUGUAAUUAAGAGCAUUGGCUUAUUUGUAUUAGGAGUAAAGAUUGCUCUUGAAUGUAAAGGAAUGAACCUAAUGCCACCAAUCUCUUAAAAACUGAAAUAUACAAGCUGAAAAUAUAGAAUUUACUAAUAUAUUUAAAUCUGCCAUAUUAUACAUGUGCAUAUGUAAUAUUUUGUAAUUUUAUCAUGUAAAAAAUCAUGUUAAAGGAAGGAGAACAUUUAUAUAUACUUGCUUUACCCGAUUCCUUCAUUCAUUUCUAUGCUUGUACGUAUGUAAAGUCAAAGACACCAUAUAUCAUGUUAAUAUUAUUUGUAAUAUGUAAUAAAGCUUUCAACUGGUUUUAUUUCUCAAGAAGCUUUGUGUAAUAUAUAUUAAUAAAUGUAUUUGUUUUCCUUAA